GGCUCAGAAUGAACGCUGGCGGCGUGCCUAACACAUGCAAGUUGAGCGGUAAGGCCCCUUCGGGGGUACACGAGCAGCGAACGGGUGAGUAUCGCGUGGGUAAUCUACCCAGAGGUGCGGGAUAGCCUCGGGAAACCGGGGGUAAUACCGCAUGAGUCCUCGACGGCACAAGUCGAUGAGGGGAAAGGCGGGGCUCCUUCGGGACCUGUCGCCUCUGGAUGAGCCCGCGUCCGAUUAGCUUGUUGGCGGGGUAAUGGCCCACCAAGGCAACGAUCGGUAGCCGGCCUGAGAGGGUGAACGGCCACAUUGGGACUGAGACACGGCCCAGACUCCUACGGGAGGCAGCAGUGGGGAAUAUUGGGCAAUGGGGGAAACCCUGACCCAGCGACGCCGCGUGGAGGAUGACGGCCUUCGGGUUGUAAACUCCUGUCAGGUGGGAAGAAAAGCUAUUCGGCUAAUAUCCGAAUGGAAUUGACGGUACCACCAAAGGAAGCCCCGGCUAACUCCGUGCCAGCAGCCGCGGUAAUACGGAGGGGGCAAGCGUUAUUCGGAUUUACUGGGCGUAAAGCGCACGUAGGUGGCAUGGUAAGUCACAGGUGAAAGCCCUCGGCUCAACCGGGGAACUGCCUUUGAAACUGCUUUGCUUGAGUCCGGGAGGGGGGAGCGGAAUUCCCAGUGUAGCGGUGAAAUGCGUAGAUACUGGGAGGAACACCGGUGGCGAAGGCGGCUCCCUGGACCGG
This 740-nucleotide ribosomal RNA is filed under the name uncultured Holophaga sp. RNAcentral's name for it is "bacterial SSU rRNA". It matches the Rfam family "Bacterial small subunit ribosomal RNA", at positions 21 to 737 of the family's 1533-position model. The record is from RNAcentral. Lineage: Bacteria; Pseudomonadati; Acidobacteriota; Holophagae; Holophagales; Holophagaceae.